GCCGGGCAUGGUGGCGCACACCUGUAAUCCCAGCUACUCAGGAGGCUGAGGCAGGAGAAUCGCUUGAACCCAGGAGGUGGAGGUUGCAGUGAGCUGAGAUUGAGCCACUGCACUCCAGCCUGGGUGACAGAGGGAGACUCUGUCUCAA
This 148-nucleotide non-coding RNA is filed under the name Pan paniscus (pygmy chimpanzee). Lineage: Eukaryota; Metazoa; Chordata; Mammalia; Primates; Hominidae. The record is from Rfam by way of RNAcentral. RNAcentral also lists the same sequence under 1 other name.